UAAUAGUUUGCAUAUGUAUUCAAAUGUUCUUACAUGUUCUUAGCUAGGACAAAAUUUUUCCGUCAAAAUAUAUAUUUAAAUUUAGGAAUAUGAUUAACUCCCACUAAUCUUUUGUAAACCUAGUAAACAAAAGAUUCAUUUACAUCUUUAUGAGAAAUCAAACAAUUUGAACUUUCUCUCAUAAGAUGCAUAUAGCUCCCACUAGCUUGCUAAGAUUCAUGAUGGAUGGAUCUCUACAACUUACAUGUCUUGUGAUUUAUAGUUUUAGACAUAUCUUAUCAAGACUAUCUUAAUAAUGGUUUCGGAAACCCAUAUUAUGUCCAAACAUUGAAUCACCAUUUAGUUGUAGCUAGCUAUCUUCGAAUUAAUUGAAACCAAGACUACGUCAAAAAUGGUUUCUUCAAAGUCAACCAUCCUUUUGAUUGUAGUUACCUUAAGCUACCAUUUAGCUUAUGAAGGUUUCAUUAUUUCGGGUCAAAUGGUACUUUACCAUUUCCUUGAGUAUAUAUCAUAUAUGCACUCAAUGUAGUCAUAAGGAUUUUCAUUCUUAUUUCUUUCGAAUUAAGAGGUGUAACUCUAUGACAUAGUCAUAAAGUUCAACCAUUCAACUGAGACGGUUUAUAAAUCCUUCUCGACUACCUUGGAGCUUGUGGUAUAGGAACUAGGUUGUUAUAUUUGUUGAUCACUAUCUUGUUUCUUAAAGAACCAUUCUUUGAGUUUUAUCCCUCGUUCAUUUGCUCUUAGGCAAAUCACAUUGUAGGAUUACAAUGAACUACCCAACAAAACAACAUUUGUUAAUUGGUUUAUAGAAGCGAUAUCCAAAAGUUAAUUUAAGGAUAUCCCACACGAUUGUUAUCAAACCAAUAUUGCUUAUUAGCACACAACCCCAAAUCUUAACAUGCUUAAGAUUUGUCUUUCUUUCCAACUACAUCUUAUGGAGUCAUGAAAAAUUUGGAAGAUCUUCUAAAUGACAAUCAUAUUGUUUUUAGAAGUAUAUAUCCUAUAUAUGGGUAAUAGAUAACAUCUAACGAACUAAAUUUUAUUCGAGUUCGUUCUUCUCCUUAAUGGAGAAAUUUAUUAUCUUAUGAUGCUUCUUUCC
This 1099-nucleotide long non-coding RNA is filed under the name Malus domestica (apple). Its description in RNAcentral is "long non-coding RNA (MDOM_LNC018911)". The record is from RNAcentral. Lineage: Eukaryota; Viridiplantae; Streptophyta; Magnoliopsida; Rosales; Rosaceae.